GGCUAGUUCGAGUGCAGUGAUAUUUAGAACUAAUUGAUCACAACCAGUUACAGAUUACUUUGUUCUUUCUCCACUCCCACUGCUUCACUUGAAUAGCCUUCA
Molecule: Y RNA, 102 nt
Filed under: Microcebus murinus (gray mouse lemur)
Lineage: Eukaryota; Metazoa; Chordata; Mammalia; Primates; Cheirogaleidae
Description: Y RNA (ENSMICG00000046752.1)
Rfam family: Y RNA
About the family: Y RNAs are components of the Ro ribonucleoprotein particle (Ro RNP), in association with Ro60 and La proteins. The Y RNAs and Ro60 and La proteins are well conserved, but the function of the Ro RNP is not known. In humans the RNA component can be one of four small RNAs -- hY1, hY3, hY4 and hY5.
Source: Rfam by way of RNAcentral